GGAUCUAUUAAUAUCACAAUUGACUAUAUUCUAGCUAUCUAAAAUCAAUUAUCAAACUACAAAACACCAAGGCUUACUACUUCUGUCUUAAUUCAACACAUAAUCCAUUCUACGAAUAUCAAUUCAAUAAUACUUCCAUAUUCUUAUCAAUUCAUCUUCUACUUACUCUCUUUGUGAUUUAUAUAUAUUUAAUUACUGAUUUCUAGCUUACUUAUUAUAUUCAAUUUUUCAAUUCAUCACACAGAAUUCAAUAUCUUCACUUAACACAACAUAAUUCGAUAAUCUCAAUUCUCAAGGUCACAAAUUUUUUCCGAAACAGUCAAUCCAAAGUCAUAUUCCACAAUAUUCUAAUCACAGUUUCAACAAUACUUCUCUCAAUCACAAUUCUUCACAAGCAAAUAAUGAAAGCAAAGAAAACAAAGAGGUAGCACCAAGCUUAUUUCAGCUUACGACUCUCACAGUCUGGCCCCGCUCUCCUUUUUUUCAACCUCUUUAUCCUACCAAAAGAUGCAUCAUAUCCAGUAGAUUCCAAAGGUUAUAAACCUUUCAAUUCUUACUCAUUUGUUCCACUAACAAUCUACUGUUACCAACUAAACUACCUAACCAUAAGUCUAAUUCUCAAGGUUUUCAAUAACCAACCAAUAACUUACCACUAAAUUUAUUUACAUAUUCUACAUAGCCCCACUCCUAA
This 691-nucleotide long non-coding RNA is filed under the name Physcomitrium patens. RNAcentral's name for it is "long non-coding RNA (PPAT_LNC003906)". The record is from RNAcentral. Lineage: Eukaryota; Viridiplantae; Streptophyta; Bryopsida; Funariales; Funariaceae.